GGGGCACGGAGCUUCCUGGCGACGGCGCACCACGGUACUGCGGCGGAGGUCGUACUUCGGCGAGAAAUUCGCCCGCGCAACAGUCCGAAGUCCGCCCGAAGAUGGUCCUCGCGCCUUCCCCGAUCGACGGCGAUGCUCCACGGCCACCCGCGGGCACCGUAGGUCUGGCCAGAGUUGAUGCCCACGGCGUCCCUCUUUCCGCCGACCCGCUCACCCUCGAAUACUCUCACUCUCGUCGCGAUGGUGCGCCAGGGGUUGCGAAGAUGGAGUAGAAGGCAAGCCGGAACCUCGUUGCAUCAUGUAGGGAUAGCACGGUCGAGCAGGAUCAACGGAUUCCCGAGUUUGGUUCGCGCGGGGACUACGGCAUGAGCUCCGCAGAUCCCGGUCAGGUUCGGUUCACCGCGAGGAAUUGGGGAGUUCGCUCCGAUGCUGACGCUCUAGACCCACCAAGCCGUGAGAUGGUCAUGGAGGGCAAGAGUCCCGGCGUGCGCGAGUCAACCGGCGAGAUCCACGGUGGAUACGGAGCUCGGCCCAGUCAUCGCGAGCGCGGACUCGGGGAAGAAGGCGGACCUGACCAGUGGGUCCCGCGUGGCAGUGGGUUCACGGCGCGGUAAAAGGGAGCGCUGACGAGGGUGGCCCGCCGGUCAGUGCAACGGUGAUGGGCUGGGCGCGGGUGAAGAAAUGUCUAGAUGGGCCGAAAGGAGGGGAGCGACCCAAUACCAGGGUUUAUUCUUUUUCUUUUUUUCCUUUUCUAUUUCAAAUUCAAAUUUUCAAAUCAAUUCCAGGUUUAAGUUUCCAAACUUUGUGGCAAGUUUAUUCUCAGUUUAUAUAUUCAAUUUGAACUUACCAAUAUAGGAUCUAUUCAUUAUUUUGUUUAUAAAAAUGCUUUUGAAUAUGUUACUUGUAUAUUUCAAGGAAGUGUUUAUAAAUAUAUUACCCAUAUAAGGAACCUUUUAUAUACCCUUUUAUAAAAGAAAACAUUUAUUUAAAAGAAAUGUGUCUCUUUAAUAGAUUCCUCAUUUUUUUGACUGAUUAGAGUUUUAGAACUAGAUUCCAGGGUUUACAAAUCCUACCCCCCUUAACAGAAAUCUCGUCCUCGAGAUUAGUAAGAGGAUAUAGGAAGAGUGGUUUGCAAUUUAGCUUUUAGUUUCUAAUUAGUUCAAAAUCAAGAGUCUCUCUUUCUUUUCAUUAGUAAGUGAUUAGGAGAGCAGAGGUAUAUAUAUGUAUGUCCACAUAAUUAUGUAGGAUAGAAGAUGUCUUUAAAGCAUAGAUGGGUUUAGGUAAGAAAGUGUAGGGUAAGAAAAGACUCCAUCCAAGAUUUGUGGAUCUUGACUCAUCUUCUUCCUUGCCGAGGUUGAGCUGUUCUUUUUCAGACCUUGGUAUCUUCAUUCUUGGGGUUGCCACCAGAGUUAGGGACCUAUGGUUAAGAUAGAUUUGUGGGUGACAAGUAGGUAGAGCAGCUAGUUUAGUGGGUGGCUUAGGAGUUAAAUGAGAUUGGUCAAAAUUUGGUUUGGUUGUUUGCCUCUAUAUUGGUUGGAUAGGUUAUGUAACCUAUUAUGUGGGUCAAAAUCUGGUUUGAUGUCAAGUGGUGGUUGAUAGAUUAUGCAAUCCAUUAAGACUUUAUUGAUUGGGUAAGUUAUGUAACUUGUUAUAUAGAUCGAGUUGUUGUGUAUGGCCAAGUUGAUAUAAGUUUCCAAAUUAGGCUUAAGUGAUUUAGGAGUAUGGUCUUAUCUUGUGUACCAGCAUUAAGUAACACACACUAGAUUAGAUCAUGUUAGGUUAGAUGGGAUCUAGAUUAGAUUGGUAUGACUAGUUUGACUAGAUAUGAUCUAAUUAAUUUGCAUUAGAUCAUGGUUGUUAGAUUAGGGUGGAUAAGUAUGCUUAUUAGGAUAAGAUAUAUCCAUAAAGAUAAGAUAGAAUCUUUUGAGACCAGUUAGACCUAUUAGGAUGAAAUACAAUCUUUUCAAGAUAGGGUGAGUAUCUUUUAAGAUAAGAUGGAUCUAUUAAGAUAAGGGAGAAUCUUUUAAGAUAAGGUGAAUUGGUUAGAAUGAGAUCUUUUAGGAUAAGAUAAAUCUCUUAAGCUAGAUAUGUUCCAAUGGGGAAUAAUCUAGGUUGUCUAGUUACUUUAUAAAUAUAUUUUUAUACCUAUGUGUAUAUACAGAUGCAAUUGUGGACAUUACUCCACAACCCAUCACACUCAAUCAAAGAUCCAAAUCAGACAGGUAUCAUAAGAACAAACAUUCAAAUAUAUAAACACUCAUAAAAAUAGUUUUGUUUUUGUUCCUAGGAUUAGGUCUCCUAUUCCUAAAGGUCACUUUAGGCACAGGAUUUCAAAGUGUGAAAUCCAAGUUUGUCUUUAGAAGGAAAAGGUAAGGAUAAUCAGAGCAAAGCGGAAUUAGAUGAGAAAAGAUUAAGAAAAGUUUAGAAAAGAAUCAGAGUAGCAAAGGUAAGUAGAUAAUGGUUGUCCAGUUCUGUCUAGGUUUCGUCCUACAGUCAACAUUCCUCUGAUACCACUUCUGUAACACCCGGAUUUUAGGGGGCCAAAACCCGGGCGCUAACAUAAACACCAGGUAUGCUGGGACCAAGUCUCAUACAUAUGAUGUAUAGUGGCACAGGAUCGAAUGUCACAUCUUUAUAUAUAACAGGAGUUCUAUACAAAAUAAAUAAUUACAUUAUAAGGAGACAACGGUCCAGCAACCCAAAGUUGACUGGGAGACGACGACCUAGACCUCUCACGAACUCAUCACAGCAUCCUCCAUGAGCAUCAUCCUGCAGUACCUGGUCUUGACCUGUGGUGUAUGUGAGACAGCAAGAGUGAGCUCACAUACGUUCAUCGCUCAACAAGUUGUGGGGAAUAAUGUGCAUGAACUCGCCAAAGGUGGGAGCUCACGUGAAGUGUAAGGCUUACCAAAGAAGAUGGUUAGAGCUGAGCAUUGCUUUUAAAGUUGGUCAAAAUUUUAUUAGCAGUUACUAAGUAUAAGUAAAUACCAACCCAAUUAAAUAGUAGAACAAAAGUAACCACAUCACCUGCAAUGCAAUGCAUAUGACAAAUUGAGUUUAGUUCCAUAAAUUAAUCAUGUGAGUGUCCGAGCCGCUCAUGACCGUGAGCACGGCUAGUAUACCAGUUUUACACUCUGCAGAGGUUGCGCAUCUUUACCCACAAGUCGUGUAUCCCAUGUCGCCAGGGUUUGCAAAGCCCUUAGACACUUCCGAGGUGAAUGGCUAGGGAUCCACUACGAGGCCUUUACAAAGUUCCACUAGCUUCCGAAAACCCGCUACAGUUUAUAGGAAGAUCCAGUACAGGAAUCCCUUGCAGGACCGCCAUCACAGCAAAAUCCUCCCGAGGGCCUCCCCAGGAAUCCCUUGCAGGACCGCCAUCACAGCAAAAUCCUCCCGAGGGCCUUCCCAGGAAUCCCUUGCAGGACCGCCAUCACAGCAAAAUCCUCCCGAGGGCACUUCCCGCACUGACCUCUCCCCUACUGCCCUUGCCCCUUUCGGGUAAGGUAGUCUUCCACUAGCUUUCCUAAUUAAUCAGCCAAGGGCGUCCCAUUAAACCCUUGUGGUAGCACUGUUUUCCCGGGUGGUUCUCCAUGUUCCAAUUAACAUAAUGAUCUCAAUAUGAACAAUAAAUAAUAACUGAUAACAAAAGUGUAACCAUGAAUAGUGUAUCUCCAUACCCAAAACCACAUAUAGCACUAGCAAGUACUACCCAGAAAGUUCAGUGGUGAACAAGGUAUAAAGAUAAUCAAACUAGGUAACCUGUUGGGUCCCAUCAAAAUUAACCUAUGCAGAUCAUUAUGAUUAAUCAGAACAUGAGUGGGUAAAAAGAAGUGAUCAAGGGCACAACUUGCCUGGGCCUUGAGAAUCCAGGUACCAGGAUGAUCUUCAGGUGACACGUGACCUCACUGCUAGUCGUAGCAAUUCAAACAAACAUUGUAUAGCAAGAAUUAACAUUACACCAAACAUGUAAAUAAAAUACACAGUAAUAAACUAGACACUAAAAUGAGAUCAUAGGAACUGGAAUCAUUAAUUUUGGAGUUGUAGAAUUCAAGUUAUGGAUUUUCUAAUGUUUUAUGUGUUUAAUACAAGAUUAAGUAUUAGAUAAAUUUAAAUGAGCCUUUCAUGCCAAAACAGAGGCACAAAAUGAUGAAGAAUAUUAUUACAAAAUUUUAGAAACUGGAAUGGUUCAAUUUGGAGCUAAAAUGAAUUUUCUAUGAAUUAUCUAAGUUCUAGCAAUUAUUUUCAUAUUAAAAAUCCAUUUUCUAUUUUAUUUAUUCAAUUUAAACGAGUUCUGGACUGGGCCUCAAUUAUAAGAAAACCGCAGGGGGUUCAGCGCAAGAAACCCGAGACACGGGGAACAGUGCCCGAGGGACGGCGGGUUGAUUCUCUUAUUUCCCGAGGACUCUUUAACAAAAUGCACCCGCGAAGGGGUACCAUCUAAUCUGGACCGUUCGAUCAAACGUUGAUGGCUCGGAUUAGAUCCAUGCCACCGCGAACCGGUACACAUCCCGAGCCGUCGGAUUCAAGCGCAAGGGUCCGGAUUCUAUUUAACUCAGAACUAUUCGUGACCGCGGGAUCGGAAUCGGACGGAUCUCAGUCACCCGAUCGAAUCGUCGUCCAUCAUCUAAUCGCGUCCGCCAAUCGUGCAUCCAACGGCCGAAAAUCGUCGGCCAGCACCAUCAUCCCGAGCGGCGGCGCCACCAUGCGACCCGGACGCGGCGGACGCCAUUGCCAGAGCUCCCAACCCCGCGAUUUAGCGCGCUAUUCUCCCUUCCACGCGGUGCUUCACCAUCUAAGGGGGCUAGUGAACCAAUGUGCAAAGGAAUUCUCACCGGAGGGGGCACGGAGCUUCCUGGCGACGGCGCACCACGGUACUGCGGCGGAGGUCGUACUUCGGCGAGAAAUUCGCCCGCGCAACAGUCCGAAGUCCGCCCGAAGAUGGUCCUCGCGCCUUCCCCGAUCGACGGCGAUGCUCCACGGCCACCCGCGGGCACCGUAGGUCUGGCCAGAGUUGAUGCCCACGGCGUCCCUCUUUCCGCCGACCCGCUCACCCUCGAAUACUCUCACUCUCGUCGCGAUGGUGCGCCAGGGGUUGCGAAGAUGGAGUAGAAGGCAAGCCGGAACCUCGUUGCAUCAUGUAGGGAUAGCACGGUCGAGCAGGAUCAACGGAUUCCCGAGUUUGGUUCGCGCGGGGACUACGGCAUGAGCUCCGCAGAUCCCGGUCAGGUUC
RNAcentral lists this long non-coding RNA (5230 nucleotides) under Zea mays. RNAcentral's name for it is "long non-coding RNA (ZMAY_LNC003800)". The record is from RNAcentral. Lineage: Eukaryota; Viridiplantae; Streptophyta; Magnoliopsida; Poales; Poaceae.